This is a long non-coding RNA of Onychostoma macrolepis, 649 nucleotides long. RefSeq lists it as uncharacterized. The record is from RefSeq and is a predicted model, not a curated record. The transcript has 4 exons. Lineage: Eukaryota; Metazoa; Chordata; Actinopteri; Cypriniformes; Cyprinidae.
CCAGCUCGUUCAACACAGCAGACGCAGACGCAGAUCUCAGAGCAGUGGAUGUUUCCUCUUUUCAUCUCAUCACAAGAUCAUACAAAGGUUAAAUGUAAGAGAAAUUGAUGAAUGGGAGAAUAUAUACUGUAUAUAUAUGGAGCAUCACAAACUGCAGAAGAAUUAAACACAUGGAGAAGAGAAAAAGAGAAAAAUGGCGAACAAAAAGGACAAACAAUCUAAAGAACCAAAGACACCAAGUCUAGUCCGACAGAACAGCAUUAAUAGUGGCAGACCAAACUUUUCUGACAUUGCAGAGUUUCAGAAAAGUCACAGACAAGAUGAAAAAGAUUGACACAUCAUAUACAGAAAGCAAAGGAUGCAGCGGUUCUGUUCAUCUAACCAGCAGAAUAUUCUCCAUCAUGUUCAGACACUGAUUAAACAAUGUAUAGCGGAAUAUGUAUAAAUGUUUGUUAUAUUUAUAAAGUACAUGUUUAGAUUUCAUGAGUACACUACAUAUUCUGAAUGAAGCUGAUCUUAAUGUGACUUUUACAAUAAUCAUUGAUGUGAUCAGUGUUUUUGCUGUAUGCUACUGUAUGAUUUAAUGUACAUAAUUUUUAGAAUUAAAAUUUUACUGUAACAAAUCUAAAACUCCUGCAAUUCGAAAUUC